This 27-nucleotide non-coding RNA is filed under the name Mus musculus (house mouse). Lineage: Eukaryota; Metazoa; Chordata; Mammalia; Rodentia; Muridae. The record is from RNAcentral.
UGAUCAAAGGCACCAGCAGGUUCAGUG